The submitters of this non-coding RNA (68 nucleotides) gave its source as unclassified sequences. The record is from Rfam.
UACUUUUGCAACCUUGAUUAUCAAAAUGGUAAUCAGUACAUAAAAAUCAUUUUAAUAAUAUUGGCAUG